UGAGUCCGAGGAGCUACGGCUCUUAAGUGAUACGAGUCAGACUUCCCAGUAAAGCCCGAACCACGUUAAUUUCUAAUUACCUGUACCCGAAACCGACACAGGUGGGUAGGUAGAGUAUACUAAGGGGCGCGAGAUAACUCUCUCUAAGGAACUCGGCAAAAUGACUCCGUAACUUCGGGAGAAGGAGUGCCUUAUUUAUAAGGUUGCAAUAACAAGAUCCAAGCAACUGUUUAUCAAAAACACAGGUCUCCGCUAAGUCGUAAGACGAUGUAUGGGGGCUGACGCCUGCCCAGUGCCAGAAGGUUAAAGAAGUUGGUUAGUGUAUGCGAAGCUGAUGACUGAAGCCCUGGUGAACGGCGGCCGUAACAAUAACGGUCCUAAGGUAGCGAAAUUCCUUGUCGGGUAAGUUCCGACCCGCACGAAAGGCGUAAUGAUUUGGAUACUGUCUCGGAGACAGGCUCGGUGAAAUAGACUUGUCUGUGAAGAUGCGGACUACCUGCACCAGGACAGAAAGACCCUAUGAAGCUUUACUGUAACUUGAAAUUGGAAUUGGACUUUGCUUGCGCAGUAUAGGUGGGAAGCGUUGAAGAUAUUCUUGCGGGAGUAUUGGAGCUAUCAGUGAGAUACCACUCUUGUAAUGUUAGAUUUCUAACUUUGAACCAUAAUCUGGUCAAAGAACAGUUUCAGGUGGGCAGUUUGACUGGGGCGGUCGCCUCCCAAAUGGUAACGGAGGCGUACAAAGGUUUCCUCUGAACGGAUAGAAAUCGUAUCUAGAGUGUAAAGGCAUAAGGAAGCUUGACUGUGAGACCUACAAGUCGAGCAGGGACGAAAGUCGGUCUUAGUGAUCUGACGGUACUGAGUGGAAAGGCCGUCACUCAACGGAUAAAAGUUACUCUAAGGAUAACAGGCUGAUCUCCCCCAAGAGUUCACAUCGACGGGGAGGUUUGGCACCUCGAUGUCGGCUCAUCGCAUCCUGGGGCGGUAGUACGUCCCAAGGGUUGGGCUGUUCGCCCAUGAAAGCGGUACGCGAGCUGGGUUCAGAACGUCGUGAGACAGUUCGGUCCAUAUCCGGUGUAGGCGUUAGAAUAUUGAGAGGAGCCUUCUUUAGUACGAGAGGACCGAGAAGGACACACCGCUGGUGUACCAGUUAUCGUGCCAACGGUAAACGCUGGGUAGCUAUGUGUGGAGUGGAUAACCGCUGAAAGCAUCUAAGUGGGAAGCCCACCUCAAGAUGAGUA
This 1238-nucleotide ribosomal RNA is filed under the name metagenome. Its description in RNAcentral is "bacterial LSU rRNA". It matches the Rfam family "Bacterial large subunit ribosomal RNA", at positions 1564 to 2810 of the family's 2925-position model. The record is from RNAcentral.